RNAcentral lists this ribosomal RNA (2902 nucleotides) under Shigella sonnei 3226-85. RNAcentral describes it as "bacterial LSU rRNA". It matches the Rfam family "Bacterial large subunit ribosomal RNA". The record is from RNAcentral. Lineage: Bacteria; Pseudomonadati; Pseudomonadota; Gammaproteobacteria; Enterobacterales; Enterobacteriaceae.
UUAAGCGACUAAGCGUACACGGUGGAUGCCCUGGCAGUCAGAGGCGAUGAAGGACGUGCUAAUCUGCGAUAAGCGUCGGUAAGGUGAUAUGAACCGUUAUAACCGGCGAUUUCCGAAUGGGGAAACCCAGUGUGAUUCGUCACACUAUCAUUAACUGAAUCCAUAGGUUAAUGAGGCGAACCGGGGGAACUGAAACAUCUAAGUACCCCGAGGAAAAGAAAUCAACCGAGAUUCCCCCAGUAGCGGCGAGCGAACGGGGAGCAGCCCAGAGCCUGAAUCAGUGUGUGUGUUAGUGGAAGCGUCUGGAAAGGCGCGCGAUACAGGGUGACAGCCCCGUACACAAAAAUGCACAUAUUGUGAGCUCGAUGAGUAGGGCGGGACACGUGGUAUCCUGUCUGAAUAUGGGGGGACCAUCCUCCAAGGCUAAAUACUCCUGACUGACCGAUAGUGAACCAGUACCGUGAGGGAAAGGCGAAAAGAACCCCGGCGAGGAGAGUGAAAAAGAACCUGAAACCGUGUACGUACAAGCAGUGGGAGCACGCUUAGGCGUGUGACUGCGUACCUUUUGUAUAAUGGGUCAGCGACUUAUAUUCUGUAGCAAGGUUAACCGAAUAGGGGAGCCGAAGGGAAACCGAGUCUUAACUGGGCGUUAAGUUGCAGGGUAUAGACCCGAAACCCGGUGAUCUAGCCAUGGGCAGGUUGAAGGUUGGGUAACACUAACUGGAGGACCGAACCGACUAAUGUUGAAAAAUUAGCGGAUGACUUGUGGCUGGGGGUGAAAGGCCAAUCAAACCGGGAGAUAGCUGGUUCUCCCCGAAAGCUAUUUAGGUAGCGCCUCGUGAAUUCAUCUCCGGGGGUAGAGCACUGUUUCGGCAAGGGGGUCAUCCCGACUUACCAACCCGAUGCAAACUGCGAAUACCGGAGAAUGUUAUCACGGGAGACACACGGCGGGUGCUAACGUCCGUCGUGAAGAGGGAAACAACCCAGACCGCCAGCUAAGGUCCCAAAGUCAUGGUUAAGUGGGAAACGAUGUGGGAAGGCCCAGACAGCCAGGAUGUUGGCUUAGAAGCAGCCAUCAUUUAAAGAAAGCGUAAUAGCUCACUGGUCGAGUCGGCCUGCGCGGAAGAUGUAACGGGGCUAAACCAUGCACCGAAGCUGCGGCAGCGACGCUUAUGCGUUGUUGGGUAGGGGAGCGUUCUGUAAGCCUGCGAAGGUGUGCUGUGAGGCAUGCUGGAGGUAUCAGAAGUGCGAAUGCUGACAUAAGUAACGAUAAAGCGGGUGAAAAGCCCGCUCGCCGGAAGACCAAGGGUUCCUGUCCAACGUUAAUCGGGGCAGGGUGAGUCGACCCCUAAGGCGAGGCCGAAAGGCGUAGUCGAUGGGAAACAGGUUAAUAUUCCUGUACUUGGUGUUACUGCGAAGGGGGGACGGAGAAGGCUAUGUUGGCCGGGCGACGGUUGUCCCGGUUUAAGCGUGUAGGCUGGUUUUCCAGGCAAAUCCGGAAAAUCAAGGCUGAGGCGUGAUGACGAGGCACUACGGUGCUGAAGCAACAAAUGCCCUGCUUCCAGGAAAAGCCUCUAAGCAUCAGGUAACAUCAAAUCGUACCCCAAACCGACACAGGUGGUCAGGUAGAGAAUACCAAGGCGCUUGAGAGAACUCGGGUGAAGGAACUAGGCAAAAUGGUGCCGUAACUUCGGGAGAAGGCACGCUGAUAUGUAGGUGAAGUCCCUUGCGGAUGGAGCUGAAAUCAGUCGAAGAUACCAGCUGGCUGCAACUGUUUAUUAAAAACACAGCACUGUGCAAACACGAAAGUGGACGUAUACGGUGUGACGCCUGCCCGGUGCCGGAAGGUUAAUUGAUGGGGUCAGCGCAAGCGAAGCUCUUGAUCGAAGCCCCGGUAAACGGCGGCCGUAACUAUAACGGUCCUAAGGUAGCGAAAUUCCUUGUCGGGUAAGUUCCGACCUGCACGAAUGGCGUAAUGAUGGCCAGGCUGUCUCCACCCGAGACUCAGUGAAAUUGAACUCGCUGUGAAGAUGCAGUGUACCCGCGGCAAGACGGAAAGACCCCGUGAACCUUUACUAUAGCUUGACACUGAACAUUGAGCCUUGAUGUGUAGGAUAGGUGGGAGGCUUUGAAGUGUGGACGCCAGUCUGCAUGGAGCCGGCCUUGAAAUACCACCCUUUAAUGUUUGAUGUUCUAACGUGGACCCGUGAUCCGGGUUGCGGACAGUGUCUGGUGGGUAGUUUGACUGGGGCGGUCUCCUCCUAAAGAGUAACGGAGGAGCACGAAGGUUGGCUAAUCCUGGUCGGACAUCAGGAGGUUAGUGCAAUGGCAUAAGCCAGCUUGACUGCGAGCGUGACGGCGCGAGCAGGUGCGAAAGCAGGUCAUAGUGAUCCGGUGGUUCUGAAUGGAAGGGCCAUCGCUCAACGGAUAAAAGGUACUCCGGGGAUAACAGGCUGAUACCGCCCAAGAGUUCAUAUCGACGGCGGUGUUUGGCACCUCGAUGUCGGCUCAUCACAUCCUGGGGCUGAAGUAGGUCCCAAGGGUAUGGCUGUUCGCCAUUUAAAGUGGUACGCGAGCUGGGUUUAGAACGUCGUGAGACAGUUCGGUCCCUAUCUGCCGUGGGCGCUGGAGAACUGAGGGGGGCUGCUCCUAGUACGAGAGGACCGGAGUGGACGCAUCACUGGUGUUCGGGUUGUCAUGCCAAUGGCACUGCCCGGUAGCUAAAUGCGGAAGAGAUAAGUGCUGAAAGCAUCUAAGCACGAAACUUGCCCCGAGAUGAGUUCUCCCUGACCCUUUAAGGGUCCUGAAGGAACGUUGAAGACGACGACGUUGAUAGGCCGGGUGUGUAAGCGCAGCGAUGCGUUGAGCUAACCGGUACUAAUGAACCGUGAGGCUUAACCUU